GUAGGGCCGGGGCAGGGUCUUCACGGCCUCCCCGGCACCCAGGGAGCGGUAGGAGCCGGGCAGCGGCUUGUGUCCUCGGUACUAGCGCGCGGCGGAGCUUCCCUCCCUCAGGGUGUCUGUCCCCUGCCCUGAGGGGGUCUAAUUCCCUCUGGGGGAUGGAGGUCCCGGCCACCUCCCAGUAAGCAAACUGACCCUCGAAGUGAGCUCCAUCUGGAACGGAUCGAGUUGUCCUUCAUUUCUUCAGACUAACAGGCACUGUGCAGAAGAGAAAGCAAGAAUUAAAUUCUCUGGGAGGGAAGCUUCAUGUAUUUGAGGAAGUGCUAAGCAUCAGGAGGUUAUUUAGAAAGUAUGGGAAGUGCAUGGAGCUGUCAUCCACCCCAGCGCCGUCACACAGUCACGGGAUCCCAGAGUCAAGCCCACUCUUCUUCACCUCCUUCUUUGGUUUCUCUCUGGCUGUCAAGCACAGGCUCCUCCUUUUUUUGCACAUCUUCUCUGUAUACAAGGCCAACCUGCAGACAAUGGGGAAUACCCAACUUUAAGCCGAUUUGUCCAUGUGAAAUAGACUAAUUUUUGUUGUGAAAUAAGUGAAGAGGAGAAAAGACAGCAAAAUAGCCAACGCUCAGAGUGACAAC
Long non-coding RNA from Calidris pugnax (ruff), 632 nucleotides. RefSeq lists it as uncharacterized. NCBI's taxonomy places the organism in Eukaryota, Metazoa, Chordata, Aves, Charadriiformes, Scolopacidae. The transcript is spliced from 6 exons. The record is from RefSeq and is a predicted model, not a curated record.